RNAcentral lists this long non-coding RNA (5628 nucleotides) under Ananas comosus (pineapple). RNAcentral's name for it is "long non-coding RNA (ACOM_LNC018335)". Lineage: Eukaryota; Viridiplantae; Streptophyta; Magnoliopsida; Poales; Bromeliaceae. The record is from RNAcentral.
AAUUUACUAUAAUAUAUAAUAUAUUAUGUCUACGUAAUUUACUUUAUUCAAUUUAUAAUAUUAAUAAGGCUUGGAAUUAAACCUUGGAAUAGUACUAUUCCACCAAAAGGGUGGAAUAGUUUAUCCUAAGCUAUUCCAGGAUAAUCGGGAAUAACUAGGUUUGAUCAUGAUAUUUCAUCACGCCCAAAAAAUGCCCCGUUUGGCUGAAUAGUAGGGAUUUCUUUCGUUAUCCCUGCUUUAUCCCCAAACCAAAUAGGGCCUUAAGCUUUAGAUGGAUACCACAAGAGUUGGAACCAAACUUAAUUAGAAAGCCUGUCAAAUUCUAAAUGAAUUUUAAGUUGAAAUUGAAAAUGAACUUACAGAACAUGUGUUAGUUUCACUUGAGAGAUUGAUUAGUUAUGUUGUUGGAUCUUUUUCUUUUGGUCUCAGUUUGACACUCAUUUUCUGCCUUUCUUUUUUCUCCUCUUUGCACAAGUCCUUUCUCUUCUGAAUGAAGAAGAUAUUUUAUCUUAUUUUUAACUUUUUUCUAUUGAGGUCUCUGAAUUCAGUGAAGUAUGGACUGGUGGCUUAUUAAUCAGUUUGCUUUUAGCUGGAUUUUCUUGCUAAAAUAAGUACCAAAGCAGUAGCAUUUGGUUCUAGCUAAGGGUAUGUUUGGUUCCCCGUAAAACUACUCGGAAAUUUUUUUUUCGCUUGAAAAGUAGUUUUGCGUUGUUUGGUUGCUCGUAAAAAAAUUUUUUGGAAAAAAAGUUUUACGUAUUCUUCGAAAAAGAAUGAGUUUUCGUUUUCCGCCCACCGUCGGCGUAAAAUGAAAACCUCUAUCAAAAGACACGGCUCAUAGCCGCUCACAAAAAAUGCGGUCGUUUUACUAAAGAUUUAGAAAGAUAAUAAAUUUUCCAACAUUCUAGAAGCGGGAUUAAUUUUAUCUUUCUAUUUCUUGUAGUACAGUAAUAUUACUUUGCUAUAGAACAAUAUAUAUCUUGUGAUAUUGCUAUAAUCCUGAACAUAUAUACAACUAUUAUUCUUGCACUGAUAAUUAAUAUUACAAUAUUUUAUUGCUGCUAUAUAUUUAUCUUUCAGUAUCUACACUAAACAUAAUUUAGAACUCUUUACUGUUAUUUCUGUAAACCUUGGAAUAGUCUUGUGACAUUAUAUUAGGAUUACUUAUAAAUAGAUUUUUCAUAAUGGAGGACUCGUAUUCGGCGAAACCUUUUACUUUUGAUGGUCGAAACUUUAAAAGGUGACAGAACCAAAUGAGGUUCUGGCUCACCACACUUGGGCUUGUAUCUGCUAUCUCGGAUCCUGUCGAGAAUAGCAAUGGAUCUGCACCUGAAGGUGCAAUCCAGACUGCGGUCAACAGACCGUAUACUCGGAGCCGAGCCCAAGCCGGAUCCACUCCUGCUUCUGAAACUGCAACUACACCUACACCUACAACUGUACCCCCUGUGGACCCUAACAUGAUAAACUAUCAUUGCUUGAACCGGAUUUUUAGUACCCUAUCUGAUAAACUGUAUGGCAUAUACUGUAGUGCUAAAACAGCUAGAAAAUUUUGGACAUUCUUAGAGAACAAGUAUGGUUAGGUUGAUCCUACCCAGAAGAGAUACCAAGCUUCAGAUUUAAUUAAGUUUAAAUUGGUGGAUAAUAAGUCUAUGUCAGACCAGCUUCAUGAUUUUGAGUAUAUAAUUAAGCAGCUUAGAUCUAGUUGUGUAGAUCUUGAUGAGAGCUUUUUAGUAGCUACCCUUAUAGAUAAGUUGCCACUCUCUUGGUCGAACCAUGCAAAUGAUCUUAACCAUAAUCAAAGAGAGCUUUUCCUGAAUUAUGUCCUAAUAUCUAUUAGGAUAGAAGAGUCGAACGGAGCUAAGGAUAAGAAGCCUAGUGAAUCCACAACCCAAGCCAACCUAGUAGAGAAUUCUAAAAAUAAGGGUAAAAAGUUUCAGCCUCAUAGAAACUUUAAGAAGCCUUUCCAUCAUAGAAAGUUCAACACAAACUUUAAGAAGCCUAAAUCUGAGGGGAGUGGAGGCAACUCUGGUUGCUUUGUGUGCGGGAAAACCAACCUGUUGGAAAAAUUAUUAUCUUUCUAAACCUUUAGUAAAACAUCCUUUUAAAACAAUUUUUGCAUGAAAACAAUUUAACGGUAGUUUUGAAAACUGCAAGUAAAAAUUAAACAAUUAAUACUACAGAGAUUAAAAGAUCAGAUGAGGCCUGUGAGUCGAGGCGUGCGACAGCACUGUCCUAGAAGCGAGAUUGCCCCUCCACGUGCGAGGUUCCGGCAAUCACUUCUAGCGAUACAACGACCACUAUCCACCCUGUCGGCACGUCUUCAGGGUGGCGCAACAUGAACCCAAUAAGCUUUCAGAGAUCCCGCAAAAAUGACAAUACAAAGUGUAUAAUAGAUGUAAAUAUCAAUGUGAGAAGGUGAGGAAGAAGAGAAUUUUUGUGCAAGCUCGGGUUAAGGCUUCUUGUCCAUGAAUGCACCUUCACCUUUACCUUCACCUCCACCUUCACCUUCACCUCUAUAUAUAGGAGAGGUUUUAGAAUAGUCCAACAGGAAGGGUCCAAAGAGAAAAUCUUGAUCAAGAUCUAGCUCCUUCCCGAGGUUGGACCAAGAUAUGGUUCCAUCCCGAGGUUUGGACCAAAGCUAGACAAGAUUCAUAUUUGAUCUCGUAUGGGUCCUUUCUAAGGUAAGGCCAUCAUUUGAUUAAAUAAUAAUAUUAAAAUUCAAUAAAAUAAAAAGAAAAGGGUGUAAAUGAACCGGGUUCACGCGCACCGCCCGCUCGACUCGGCCCGGCUCGGCUCGUGCUCGUGCCGUGUGUGCAUGUGUUUAGUCGAGAGCUUUACUCAAAUGUUCUCCCAAGCAAUUAAGUUGAGAGUGAGAUAGUAUAUAAGAUGAAGUAGAAUGCCUUUACUUUCUAAUGUGGGACUAAACUCCACAAGUGAAAACCAAGGCACGGGCUCCCAGGCUUAAGGUGAAGUAGAAUGCCUUUACUUUCCAAUGUGGCACUUGAAAUUUGAUUCUUUAGUUGUGUCAAAUGGUUUUUAUGUGAACAUGUCUGAUGAAUGUGUAUAUUCAAAGGAAUAUAAUGGGCAGAUUGUAAUCUUAUGUUUAUAUGUUGAUGAUAUUUUAAUUUUUGGUACCAAUAUGAAUGUAAUAUAUGAUGUGAAGAAAUUACUUAAUAAGAAUUUUGAUAUGAAAGAUCUUGGGUAAGUAGAUGUAAUUCUCAACAUGAAGAUCAUUAGAAAAUCAAAAGAAAUUGUUAUGAGCCAAUCACACUAUAGUCAACAGUUAUUGAAGAAGUUUGGAUAUUUUGAUGUUAAACCUGUAGUGACACCUUAUGAUUCUAGUGUACACCUUAAGAAGAAUAGAGGUGAUCCAAUCGGUCAGAAUAGAUAUGCACAGAUUAUAGGAUCUCUAGGAUACCUAGUAGACUAUACUAGACCUGAUUUGGCUUAUGCAGAUUGAGAGGAUAUACCCAUAAUCCAAAUAGAGAGCAUUGGAAUGCUUUAGAAAGAGUUUUGAAAAACCUGAAGGGAAUUGUGUCUUAUGGAUUAUAUUACAGUGGCUUUCUUGCAGUAUUAGAAGGAUAUAGUGAUGCCAAUUUGAUUAGUGAUACAGCUGAUGUAAAGUCGACUACCAUAUUUGCUUUUCUCCUAGCAGGACCAGCUGUUUCUUGGAAGUCAACCAAACAAUCUUUGAUCGCCAGAAGUACCAUGGAAUCUGAACUUAUAGCAUUAGAUAUCACUGUAGCAGAGGCUAAAUGGAUUAGAGAGUUUCUUUAUGAUCUGCCACUGAUGGAGCGACUUUUAGCACCUGUGUGUAUUCAUUGUUAUUGUAGAUCUGCAAUUGAUAAAUGUGCCCAAGAGAAUGUGGUGACUAAGAUGAAUAGAUUCAUGAAAGUGAGACAUAAGUUCAUUCGACAGAAUAUGAAGGAAAAUGUAAUUGCUUUAGAAUUUGUGAGAUCUGCGAAGAACUUGGCUGAUCAGUUUGCCAAGGGAUUAUCUAGGACUGAUCUUAGAAUUGUCGAGGGAGAUGGGGCUUAGCCCACAAUAGUAGUUACUGGCGACGGCAAUCCAACUUGUUGCAGGUUCAAUGGGUAGAAACAAGUCGAAUAGGUAGCUAUGAGGAGCACUGCUUUUUGUAUCUUAAUCCCUAUGACGACAGUGCUCAUAUCUGCAAGUGGAUAGGAAGGACAUUGGCCCUGAAUGGUUCUGAGACCCAUGAGACAGGAUGUCACCUUGCAGACAUCCUUCUGAGGACAUUCUAUGGGUCUUGCCUGGGAGCCCGUGCCUUGAUUUCCACAUGUGGAGUUUAGUCCCACAUUGAAAAGUAAAGGCAUUUUACUUCAUCUUAUAUACUCUCUCACUCUCAACUUAAUUACUUGAAAAAACAUGAGAAAAGCUUUCGACUAAAUACACGCACGAGCACGAGCACGAGCCGGGCCGAGUCGGUCGGGCGGGCGGCGGUGUGCUCGAACCCGGUUCAUUUACACCAUUUUUUUAUUUUAUUGGAUUUUAAUAUUAUUAUUUAAUCAAAUGAUGGCCUUAUCUUGGGAAGGACCCAUAUGAGAUGAAAUCUGGAUCUUGUCCAGAUUUGGUCCAACAUCGGGAUGAAAUCAUAUCUUGAUCCAACAUCGGGAAGGAAUUAGAUUUUGGUCAAGAUUUUCUCUUUGGACUUUUCCUGUUGGACUAUUCUAAAAUCUCUCCUAUAUAUAGAGGUGAAGGUGAGCAUUCAUGGACGAGAAGCCUUAACCCGAGCUUGCACAAAAAUCCUCUUCUUUCUCACCUUCUCACAUUGACUUUUAUAUCUAUUAUACACUUUGCAUUGCCAUUUUUGCUGGAUCUCUGAAAGCUUAUUGAGUUCGUGUUGCGUCAUUCUGAAAACGUGCCGACAGGGUGGACAGUGGUCGUUGUAUCGCUAGGAGUUAUUGCCGGAGCCUCGCACGUAGAGGGGCAAUCUCGCUUCUAGGACAAUGCUUUCGCACGCCUCGACUCACAGGCCUCAUUUGAUCUCUUAAUCUAUGUAGUAUUAACUGUUUAAUUUUUACUUGCGGUUUCAAAACUACAGUUAAAUUGUUUUCAUGCAAAAAUUGUUUUAAAAGGAUAUUUUACUAAAGAUUUAAAAAGAUAAUAAUUUUUCCAACAUUCCAGAAGCGAGAUUAAUUUUAUCUUUCUAUUUCUUGUAGUACAGUAAUAUUACUUUGCUAUAGAACAAUAUAUAUCCUGUGAUACUGUUCUAUAGCAAAGUAAUAUUACUGUACUACAAGAAAUAGAAAGAUAAAAUUAAUCUCGCUUCUAGAAUGUUGGUUCUAGCUAAGGGUAUGUUUGGUUCCCCGUAAAACUACUCGGAAAAUUUUUUUUCGCUUGAAAAGUAGUUUUGCGUUGUUUGGUUGCUCGUAAAAGAUUUUUUUGGAAAAUUUUUUUUACGUAUUCUUCGAAAAAGAAUGAGUUUUCGUUUUCCGCCCACCAUCGGUGUAAAAUGAAAACCUCUAUCAAAAGACACGGCUCACAGCCGCUCACAAAAAAUGCGGUCCACGCGAAAGGUUGGUUCUCGUGGACCGCGUGAGUGGUCCAAUGUGGACCACUCAUCCACUCCCUCUCUCUCUUAUAUAUAUAUAUAUAUAUUUGAAAAGGGUG